Non-coding RNA from Danio rerio (zebrafish), 114 nucleotides. The record is from Rfam. Lineage: Eukaryota; Metazoa; Chordata; Actinopteri; Cypriniformes; Danionidae.
GUAGGCUAUGGAGAUAUAUACCCUCAGACUCUGCUUGGUAAAAUAGUCGGUGGACUUUGCUGCAUUGCUGGAGUGCUGGUUAUUGCCUUACCCAUCCCUAUUAUUGUGAAUAAC